GCUUAACACAUGCAAGUCGAACGGAAAGGCCCUGCUUUUGUGGGGUGCUCGAGUGGCGAACGGGUGAGUAACACGUGAGUAACCUGCCCUUGACUUUGGGAUAACUUCAGGAAACUGGGGCUAAUACCGGAUAGGAGCUCCUGCUGCAUGGUGGGGGUUGGAAAGUUUCGGCGGUUGGGGAUGGACUCGCGGCUUAUCAGCUUGUUGGUGGGGUAGUGGCUUACCAAGGCUUUGACGGGUAGCCGGCCUGAGAGGGUGACCGGCCACAUUGGGACUGAGAUACGGCCCAGACUCCUACGGGAGGCAGCAGUGGGGAAUAUUGCACAAUGGGCGGAAGCCUGAUGCAGCAACGCCGCGUGCGGGAUGACGGCCUUCGGGUUGUAAACCGCUUUCGCCUGUGACGAAGCGUGAGUGACGGUAAUGGGUAAAGAAGCACCGGCUAACUACGUGCCAGCAGCCGCGGUGAUACGUAGGGUGCGAGCGUUGUCCGGAUUUAUUGGGCGUAAAGGGCUCGUAGGUGGUUGAUCGCGUCGGAAGUGUAAUCUUGGGGCUUAACCCUGAGCGUGCUUUCGAUACGGGUUGACUUGAGGAAGGUAGGGGAGAAUGGAAUUCCUGGUGGAGCGGUGGAAUGCGCAGAUAUCAGGAGGAACACCAGUGGCGAAGGCGGUUCUCUGGGCCUUUCCUGACGCUGAGGAGCGAAAGCGUGGGGAGCGAACAGGCUUAGAUACCCUGGUAGUCCACGCUGUAAACGGUGGGUACUAGGUGUGGGGUCCAUUCCACGGGUUCCGUGCCGUAGCUAACGCUUUAAGUACCCCGCCUGGGGAGUACGGCCGCAAGGCUAAAACUCAAAGGAAUUGACGGGGCCCCGCACAAGCGGCGGAGCAUGCGGAUUAAUUCGAUGCAACGCGUAGAACCUUACCUGGGUUUGACAUGGAUCGGGAGUGCUCAGAGAUGGGUGUGCCUCUUUUGGGGUCGGUUCACAGGUGGUGCAUGGCUGUCGUCAGCUCGUGUCGUGAGAUGUUGGGUUAAGUCCCGCAACGAGCGCAACCCUUGUUCACUGUUGCCAGCACGUUAUGGUGGGGACUCAGUGGAGACCGCCGGGGUCAACUCGGAGGAAGGUGGGGAUGACGUCAAGUCAUCAUGCCCCUUAUGUCCAGGGCUUCACGCAUGCUACAAUGGCUGGUACAGAGAGUGGCGAGCCUGUGAGGGUGAGCGAAUCUCGGAAAGCCGGUCUCAGUUCGGAUUGGGGUCUGCAACUCGACCUCAUGAAGUCGGAGUCGCUAGUAAUCGCAGAUCAGCAACGCUGCGGUGAAUACGUUCCCGGGGCU
This 1328-nucleotide ribosomal RNA is filed under the name uncultured bacterium. Its description in RNAcentral is "bacterial SSU rRNA". It matches the Rfam family "Bacterial small subunit ribosomal RNA", at positions 46 to 1381 of the family's 1533-position model. The record is from RNAcentral.